Taeniopygia guttata (zebra finch) is the source of this 543-nucleotide non-coding RNA. The record is from RefSeq and is a predicted model, not a curated record. Lineage: Eukaryota; Metazoa; Chordata; Aves; Passeriformes; Estrildidae.
UUGUGUCACAGAGCUUUUAUCAGAUUCUUAAAUUUUUCUUAUUUGUUUUGAAGCCUCUCUCCAGAACCCCAUGGUGGCUGAACCCCAGAAACCAGGUGGCUGCAGCUUGGAGUGGCAGAGGGACACAGAGCAGCACUGCCCUGGGCCAUGUGGUGGGCAGUACCCAUGUGGUGCCUUGCAGACACCCAAGGGAAGCUGCAGCUGUCCUGAGCACCACAACUUGUUCUGGAACUGAAUGAAGGCCUUAGAAAGUCCCUGCCUAACCCCAUCCACAGGAAAGAUGGGUUUGUGUGUCAGACAAGUUUCCUGGAGCUGGACAUUAAUGUAACCCAUAGCAAGCUGUUCUAUGUGCAGAAGGUGCUGGAAGAGAAAAUGAGAGAUUUCAUGAGAUCUGAGGAAUAAGAACAGUCCUUAAAUUCAAUUCUCCUUGGUGCACUUGCAUAUAACAGUCUCUUGACACUUGUGUCUUCUUUUAAAAUACUAAUAGCCUUCCUCUGGAUAGUUCUUCAUGAUCAGCAAGUAAAAAGGAUUAGGAAAGAAAAA